RNAcentral lists this ribosomal RNA (2434 nucleotides) under Rhodococcus (subgen. Prescottella) equi. Its description in RNAcentral is "Prescottella equi partial 23S ribosomal RNA". It matches the Rfam family "Bacterial large subunit ribosomal RNA", at positions 1 to 2207 of the family's 2925-position model. The record is from RNAcentral. Lineage: Bacteria; Bacillati; Actinomycetota; Actinomycetes; Mycobacteriales; Nocardiaceae.
ACAGUGGACGCGAGCAUCUUUGUUGUAAGUGUUUAAGAGCGUACGGUGGAUGCCUUGGCACCAGGAGCCGAUGAAGGACGUAGGAGGCUGCGAUAAGCCUCGGGGAGCUGUCAACCGAGCUGAGAUCCGAGGAUGUCCGAAUGGGGAAACCCAGCCACAGUGAUGUGUGGUUACCCGCGCCUGAAUAUAUAGGGCGUGUGGAGGGAACGUGGGGAAGUGAAACAUCUCAGUACCCACAGGAAGAGAAAACAACAUGUGAUUCCGUGAGUAGUGGCGAGCGAAAGCGGAAGAGGCUAAACCAUGGGUGUGUGAUAGCCGGCGGGCGUUGCAUUCGUGGGGUUGUGGGAUCCGUCUUGUCAAUUCUGCCGGAUUGGCCGACAGUGAGAAAUCAUCGUGUUAGUCGAAGUGGUCUGGAACGGCCUGUCGUAGAGGGUGAGAGUCCCGUAGACGAAAACAUGGUGACUGUCGUGACGGACACCCGAGUAGCAGCGGGCCCGUGAAAUCUGCUGUGAAUCUGUCGGGACCACCCGAUAAGCCUGAAUACUCCCUGGUGACCGAUAGCGGACUAGUACCGUGAGGGAAAGGUGAAAAGUACCCCGGGAGGGGAGUGAAAUAGUACCUGAAACCGUGCGCUUACAAUCCGUCAGAGCCUGCGCCACUUCGGUGGGUGGGUGAUGGCGUGCCUUUUGAAGAAUGAGCCUGCGAGUUAGCGGCAUGUCGCGAGGUUAACCCGUGUGGGGUAGCCGUAGCGAAAGCGAGUCCGAAUAGGGCGUUUGUAGUGGCAUGUUCUAGACCCGAAGCGGAGUGAUCUACCCAUGGCCAGGGUGAAGCGACGGUAAGACGUCGUGGAGGCCCGAACCCACUUAGGUUGAAAACUGAGGGGAUGAGCUGUGGGUAGGGGUGAAAGGCCAAUCAAACUCCGUGAUAGCUGGUUCUCCCCGAAAUGCAUUUAGGUGCAGCGUCGCGUGUUUCACUCUGGAGGUAGAGCUACUGGAUGGCCGAUGGGCCCCACAAGGUUACUGACGUCAGCCAAACUCCGAAUGCCAGAGUGUGAGAGCGCGGCAGUGAGACUGCGGGGGAUAAGCUUCGUAGUCGAGAGGGAAACAGCCCAGAUCGCCGGCUAAGGCCCCUAAGCGUGUACUAAGUGGAAAAGGAUGUGGGGUCGCGAAGACAACCAGGAGGUUGGCUUAGAAGCAGCCACCCUUGAAAGAGUGCGUAAUAGCUCACUGGUCAAGUGAUCCUGCGCCGACAAUGUAGCGGGGCUCAAGUACACCGCCGAAGCCGCGGCAUUCACAUAACACCCAUGCGGGUCUACGGGCCUGUGUGCAGUGGUGUGGAUGGGUAGGGGAGCGUCGUGCAGCCAUGGAAGCGCCGGAGUGAUCCAGGUGUGGAGGCUGCACGAGUGAGAAUGCAGGCAUGAGUAGCGAAAGACGAGUGAGAAACUCGUCCGCCGAAUGACCAAGGGUUCCUGGGCCAGGUUAAUCCGCCCAGGGUGAGUCGGGACCUAAGGCGAGGCCGACAGGCGUAGUCGAUGGACAACGGGUUGAUAUUCCCGUACCCGUGUGAACGCGCCCCUGGUGAAUCAGUGAUGCUAAGCGCCCUGAAGCCGCCUUCGAACCUUCGGGUUCUCCGGUGUGUGGAUGCGCGUGAACCGAUCUGGUAGUAGCCAAGCGAUGGGGUGACGCAGGAAGGUAGCUGAGCCAGUCAGUGGUAAUACUGGUGUAAGCGUGUAGGGCGUGACCUAGGCAAAUCCGGGUCACAUACAGCCUGAGACGUGAUGCGUAGCCGAUUGAGGCGAAUUCAGUGAUCCUAUGCUGCCGAGAAAAGCCUCUAGCGAGCUUUCACACGGCCCGUACCCCAACCGACACAGGUGGUCAGGUAGAGAAUACUAAGGCGAUCGAGAUAACUGUGGUUAAGGAACUCGGCAAAAUGCCCCGUAACUUCGGGAGAAGGGGGGCCUCGUCUGGUGACGGAACUUGCUUCCUGAGCUGGGUGGGGCCGCAGAGACCAGAGAGAAGCGACUGUUUACUAAAAACACAGGUCCGUGCGAAGUCGUAAGACGAUGUAUACGGACUGACGCCUGCCCGGUGCUGGAAGGUUAAGAGGACCGGUUAGCCAGUAAUGGCGAAGCUGAGAAUUUAAGCCCCAGUAAACGGCGGUGGUAACUAUAACCAUCCUAAGGUAGCGAAAUUCCUUGUCGGGUAAGUUCCGACCUGCACGAAUGGCGUAACGACUUCUCUGCUGUCUCAACCACAGACUCGGCGAAAUUGCAUUACGAGUAAAGAUGCUCGUUACGCGCGCAGGAGGACGAAAAGACCCGGGACCUUCACUAUAGCUUGGUAUUGGUGUUCGGUUCGGUUUGUGUAGGAUAGGUGGGAGACUGUGAAGCGGGGCACGCCAGUGUUCGUGGAGUCGUUGUUGAAAUACCACUCUG